Molecule: ribosomal RNA, 1002 nt
Filed under: uncultured bacterium
Lineage: Bacteria
Also listed under: 1 other name
Description: bacterial SSU rRNA
Rfam family: Bacterial small subunit ribosomal RNA
Source: RNAcentral
UGGGGAAUAUUGCACAAUGGGGGAAACCCUGAUGCAGCAACGCCGCGUGAAGGAUGACGGUUUUCGGAUUGUAAACUUCUUUUCUUAGUGACGAAGACAGUGACGGUAGCUAAGGAAUAAGCAUCGGCUAACUACGUGCCAGCAGCCGCGGUAAUACGUAGGAUGCAAGCGUUAUCCGGAUUUACUGGGUGUAAAGGGAGCGCAGGCGGGACUGCAAGUUGGAUGUGAAAUACCGUGGCUUAACCACGGAACUGCAUCCAAAACUGUAGUUCUUGAGUGAAGUAGAGGCAAGCGGAAUUCCGAGUGUAGCGGUGAAAUGCGUAGAUAUUCGGAGGAACACCAGUGGCGAAGGCGGCUUGCUGGGCUUUAACUGACGCUGAGGCUCGAAAGUGUGGGGAGCAAACAGGAUUAGAUACCCUGGUAGUCCACACUGUAAACGAUGAUAGCUAGGUGUGGGGGGUCUGACCCCUUCCGUGCCGGAGUUAACGCAAUAAGCUAUCCACCUGGGGAGUACGACCGCAAGGUUGAAACUCAAAGGAAUUGACGGGGGCCCGCACAAGCAGUGGAUUAUGUGGUUUAAUUCGAAGCAACGCGAAGAACCUUACCAGGUCUUGACAUCCGACUAACGAGAUAGAGAUAUGUCAGGUGCCCUUCGGGGAAAGUCGAGACAGGUGGUGCAUGGUUGUCGUCAGCUCGUGUCGUGAGAUGUUGGGUUAAGUCCCGCAACGAGCGCAACCCCUGCCAUUAGUUGCUACGCAAGAGCACUCUAAUGGGACCGCUACCGACAAGGUGGAGGAAGGUGGGGACGACGUCAAAUCAUCAUGCCCCUUAUGACCUGGGCUACACACGUAAUACAAUGGCCGUUAACAGAGGGAAGCAAAGCGGUGACGCAGAGCAAAACCCUAAAAACGGUCCCAGUUCGGACUGUAGGCUGCAACCCGCCUACACGAAGUUGGAAUUGCUAGUAAUCGCGGAUCAGCAUGCCGCGGUGAAUACGUUCCC